AACUAUACCAGACCCAGCCAGGGCUGCUCGGUUGUACAGAGAAACAAUGCUGGACAUUCAUGCAUCAGGGAAGCCGCUGCAUUUGCAUGUUAACCUGGGAGACAGACCAAGAAAUGGCUUUCAUUGCAUUUUACAAGGCACGCAAUGUAGAGUGGGCAAAUCCUAUGCAAUCCAGACUUGAAGGUGAUCCUGCAAUCGGAGAGGGAGUGAACCGCUACUGGUUUUCCAGAGUGAUGCAGAAGCUAAAAGAGGGUUUUAACUUGAACUUUGGAAAUUGCUGUGUCACAAGGCUGUUCGAUGGAGAGCCAGACCACCUUGUGCCUUCAUCGUCUGCAUUCUUGGUUGAGAGUGACCUUUUUCUGAUGGUGGGCAGAAUCAUUGGCCAUUGCUUCCUGCAUGGAGGUCCUGCACUGACAGGCCUAAGCCCAGCUGUUGUUCAUAUCCUGUGUGGAGGCACAGCUGAAACUGCCACCAUUAGCAUCCGUGACUGUCCAGACAUGGAUCUAAGGGAGAACAUCCAGAUACUCGAAGGGAACUCCGAACUCUCAGCUGCUGAGAAGGAGAGUGUGAACACCUUGUGUCUGGCAUGGGACCUUCCUGUGAUGUCUAACGACAAGCGGCGAUGGCUCUUUGAGAGACAUCUUUAUCAUGCGGUAAUUGGACGAGCCAUGAGGCAAAUCAGAAAAGGACUCAAAGACACUAUGCUGUGGCCCCUCAUUAAUCAACGUCCAGAUGUAGCUCCAAUUCUUUUUCCACAGGAGUCAAGUGCUGUGUUGACCCCAGAGAUGGCUUGUCUGUGUGAUGUUUUUGUAUGUCGAGCAUUCUUGACCGCAUCAACUGGCCGACCAUGAUUGACGUUGGUGAUGAUGAUGAUGAAUGCUCUUUGGAAGAUAAGAGCCGUGUCACAGGAUACCUUCGUCGCUUCAUUCAAGAUGCAUCCAGUGAUGAGUUGAAGGAACUUGUAAAGUUCUGGGUUGGAUGGGAGGCUCCUUCCAGUACCCUCACAGUGGAGGUGAUUAACGGUGGCCUACCAAAGUCAUCCACAUGCUUUGAAACACUCCGUAUUCCUGCCCACUACCAAGACUACCCAACAUUCAAGAAAGAGUUGAUGGCGUGUCUCAGCACAAAUGACACUGGAUUUGGGCUGGUGUAAAUGUUGGCAGCAAAAUGUGUGACUGUUAUACCACAGCUUGUACCUAAAGCUAUAGUCAACUGUUCAAUGUUCUUGUUUGCUCAGUUCAGAUAAUUUUACCUUACUCAACAUGUCUGUUGCAAGUGUAUUGUGCUUUUACUGUAAGCCUAGAAGGUGUUGGACAUACUGAACAGUAGCUAAAUAAAUGUCUGAGCCAUGUGAUUGGGACUGUGCCAGGGGAUUUAUGGCUGCCCCCAGUGCUGCCUCUUGUUGAUGGCUCAACAAAUGGCCUGUCUCAGGAACAGUGACCCCAUGGUGUGGAUCAUCAGGCAGGCCACUGUCCUCCCAGUCAAGAUGAGGGAGGUAUAAUUCCUAAAAGAAAGACACCAGAAUGUGAUAUAUGAAAACCAGUUGCAGAUAGUUAAAAAAUAACUUAAAUGUCCAAAUGUGAAAUAUAUAUACUCACUAGUAAGACAUGAGCAUGCAAAACAUUCUUGUGUGCAGGAGUUUUUUGUUUGUUUGUUAGAGCAAGGGUGUACUGUAACAAUUUUCAGGUUAUGGCCGAACAAGUUGAUUUUCAUUGUGGACGACAAAUAAAAAGAUUUUUGCCCUAGGGACCCAGAUAUUAUAAGAUACUGUAUGUUUAGUAUUACAUUGUAUGUGAU
Trematomus bernacchii (emerald rockcod) is the source of this 1797-nucleotide RNA transcript. RefSeq lists it as uncharacterized. The record is from RefSeq and is a predicted model, not a curated record. The transcript is spliced from 7 exons. NCBI's taxonomy places the organism in Eukaryota, Metazoa, Chordata, Actinopteri, Perciformes, Nototheniidae.